Molecule: ribosomal RNA, 250 nt
Filed under: uncultured bacterium
Lineage: Bacteria
Description: partial 16S ribosomal RNA
Rfam family: Bacterial small subunit ribosomal RNA
Source: RNAcentral
UUUUGCUGGCGACCGGCGCACGGGUGAGUAACACGUAUCCAACCUGCCCUUUACUCGGGGAUAGCCUUUCGAAAGAAAGAUUAAUACCCGAUAGCAUAAUGAUUCCGCAUGGUUUCAUUAUUAAAGGAUUCCGGUAAAGGAUGGGGAUGCGUUCCAUUAGGUUGUUGGUGAGGUAACGGCUCACCAAGCCUUCGAUGGAUAGGGGUUCUGAGAGGAAGGUCCCCCACAUUGGAACUGAGACACGGUCCAA